AUACAUACCUGGCAGGGAUAAUACUAUGAUCACAAAGGUGGUUUCCCCAGGGCGAGGAUCAGCCAUUGCAUUUCGGUUGACUGACCUCUGCGUAUUCCCCAAAUGUGGGAAUCUCGGUUGCAUAGUUUCUGGUUGUGGGGGACUGCGUACGCACGCUCUCCUG
Molecule: small nuclear RNA, 163 nt
Filed under: Monopterus albus (swamp eel)
Lineage: Eukaryota; Metazoa; Chordata; Actinopteri; Synbranchiformes; Synbranchidae
Description: U1 spliceosomal RNA (ENSMALG00000006913.1)
Rfam family: U1 spliceosomal RNA
About the family: U1 is a small nuclear RNA (snRNA) component of the spliceosome (involved in pre-mRNA splicing).
Source: RNAcentral